CUUAGUGGCGAACGGGUGAGUAACGCGUGAGUAACCUGCCCUGGAGUGGGGGACAACAGUUGGAAACGACUGCUAAUACCGCAUAAGCCCACGGAUCCGCAUGGAUCUGCGGGAAAAGGAUUUAUUUGCUUCAGGAUGGACUCGCGUCCAAUUAGCUAGUUGGUGAGGUAACGGCCCACCAAGGCGACGAUUGGUAGCCGGACUGAGAGGUUGAACGGCCACAUUGGGACUGAGACACGGCCCAGACUCCUACGGGAGGCAGCAUG
RNAcentral lists this ribosomal RNA (266 nucleotides) under uncultured bacterium. RNAcentral's name for it is "partial 16S ribosomal RNA". It matches the Rfam family "Bacterial small subunit ribosomal RNA", at positions 91 to 353 of the family's 1533-position model. The record is from RNAcentral.